GCCAGCAUGGUGUAGUGGUCUGAAUGUUGGACUACAACUCUGGAGACCAGGGUUCAAUUCCCAGCUCUGCCA
Molecule: transfer RNA, 72 nt
Filed under: Phrynosoma platyrhinos (Desert horned lizard)
Lineage: Eukaryota; Metazoa; Chordata; Lepidosauria; Squamata; Phrynosomatidae
Description: tRNA-OTHER
Source: RNAcentral